This 535-nucleotide ribosomal RNA is filed under the name uncultured bacterium. RNAcentral describes it as "bacterial SSU rRNA". It matches the Rfam family "Bacterial small subunit ribosomal RNA", at positions 358 to 917 of the family's 1533-position model. The record is from RNAcentral.
GGAUUCCAUGGGGGAACCCUGACGCAGCACGCCGCGUGGAGGAUGAAGUCCUUCGGGACGUAAACUCCUUUCGAUCGGGACGAUUAUGACGGUACCGGAAGAAGAAGCCCCGGCUAACUUCGUGCCAGCAGCCGCGGUAAUACGAGGGGGGCGAGCGUUGUUCGGAAUUAUUGGGCGUAAAGGGUGCGUAGGCGGUUUUGUAAGUCUUAUGUGAAAUCUAUGGGCUCAACUCAUAGACUGCAUGAGAAACUGCAGGGCUUGAGUAUGGGAGAGGUGAGUGGAAUUCCUGGUGUAGCGGUGAAAUGCGUAGAUAUCAGGAGGAACACCUGUGGCGAAAGCGGCUCACUGGACCAUAACUGACGCUGAUGCACGAAAGCUAGGGGAGCAAACAGGAUUAGAUACCCUGGUAGUCCUAGCCCUAAACGAUGACUGCUUGGUGUGACGGGUACCCAAUCCCGCCGUGCCGUAGCUAACGCGUUAAGCAGUCCGCCUGGGGAGUACGGUCGCAAGGCUGAAACUCAAAAAAAUUGACGGA